AAGUAAGAAGCGAUAACUUUGCAUUCAGUUUCGACCUGACCCUAGACAAUAUAAUGUCCUUACUUU
RNAcentral lists this transfer RNA (66 nucleotides) under Kamimuria klapaleki. RNAcentral describes it as "tRNA-Arg". The record is from RNAcentral. Lineage: Eukaryota; Metazoa; Arthropoda; Insecta; Plecoptera; Perlidae.